AGAGUUUGAUCAUGGCUCAGAGCGAACGUUAGCGGCGGGCCUAACACAUGCAAGUCGAACGAGAAAGUCCUUCGGGGCGAGUAUAGUGGCGCACGGGUGAGGAACGCGUAGGUAAUCUACCCUCCGGCGGGGGACAACAUUCCGAAAGGAAUGCUAAUACCGCAUAUGACCACGCUCACUACGGUGAAAGUGGUAAAAGGCGCCUCAAAGCGCCACCAGAGGAUGAGCCUGCGUCCCAUCAGCUUGUUGGUAAGGUAACGGCUUACCAAGGCUAAGACGGGUAGCUGGUCUGAGAGGAUGAUCAGCCACACUGGCACUGGAACACGGGCCAGACUCCUACGGGAGGCAGCAGUGAGGAAUAUUGGGCAAUGGGCGAAAGCCUGACCCAGCCACGCCGCGUGUGUGAUGAAGGCCUUCGGGUCGUAAAGCACUGUGGGGAGAGACGAAACAGCGCAUCAGGAAAUGGUUGCGCCUUGACGGUACCUCCUUAGCAAGCACCGGCUAACUCUGUGCCAGCAGCCGCGGUAAUACAGAGGGUGCAAACGUUGCUCGGAUUUACUGGGCGUAAAGCGCGUGUAGGCGGACUCGCAAGUCGGUUGUGAAAUCCCUGGGCUCAACCUAGGAACUGCAUCCGAAACUGCUUGUCUUGAGUAAUGGAGAGGGUGGCGGAAUUCCCGGUGUAGAGGUGAAAUUCGUAGAUAUCGGGAGGAACAUCAGUGGCGAAGGCGGCCACCUGGACAUUUACUGACGCUGAGACGCGAAAGCGUGGGGAGCAAACAGGAUUAGAUACCCUGGUAGUCCACGCCGUAAACGAUGAGAACUAGGUGCAGCGGAUAUUGACCUCUGCUGUGCCGUAGCUAACGCGUUAAGUUCUCCGCCUGGGGGAGUACGGCCGCAAG
RNAcentral lists this ribosomal RNA (899 nucleotides) under uncultured bacterium. Its description in RNAcentral is "bacterial SSU rRNA". It matches the Rfam family "Bacterial small subunit ribosomal RNA", at positions 8 to 892 of the family's 1533-position model. The record is from RNAcentral.